This 71-nucleotide transfer RNA is filed under the name Ictidomys tridecemlineatus (thirteen-lined ground squirrel). RNAcentral's name for it is "Spermophilus tridecemlineatus (thirteen-lined ground squirrel) tRNA". It matches the Rfam family "tRNA". From Rfam's summary of the family: Transfer RNA (tRNA) molecules are approximately 80 nucleotides in length. Their secondary structure includes four short double-helical elements and three loops (D, anti-codon, and T loops). Lineage: Eukaryota; Metazoa; Chordata; Mammalia; Rodentia; Sciuridae. The record is from Rfam by way of RNAcentral.
AGAGUUGUAACUCAGUGGUAGAGUGCUCGCCUCACAUGUGGAAGGCCCUGGGUUCAAUCUCAGCACCACAU